GCAUAAAUGUUGAUUGGAAGAGUAUAAUUAUUAUUCAUUAUAGAAAGUUAAUGGUUGAUGGAAAUUAAUGUGAAAAUAAUUAGAAAGACACCAGGAGUGCUUAAAGAAAUAUAGUAGAAUAAGCCGGUUAAAACCGUUAUAUUUAAAGAGUGACUUUUUAUAGUAAUAAAGGUGGUACCGCGGAUUAACAGUGAUUCGUCCUUUUU
RNAcentral lists this non-coding RNA (206 nucleotides) under Bacillota bacterium. RNAcentral describes it as "Firmicutes bacterium T-box sequence". It matches the Rfam family "T-box leader". Rfam says of the family: Uncharged tRNA acts as the effector for transcription antitermination of genes in the T-box leader family. Lineage: Bacteria; Bacillati; Bacillota. The record is from RNAcentral.